UUACUUUGCUAUCUUAUGUCAUUACUGUCUUUAUCAUAGACAUAAUUCAUAAUGGAUACAAGUUUCAUGUUAUGAAAAACCACUGAAAUUUGAUAACAAAAUUGAAAAUGUUUCAUUAAAAUAAGGAUGCAUAGAAACUAAUAUUUUGUUGAGAAAAAGUGGAGCGUCUAUGGGAGAUAAUUUUGAUGGUCUGUGGAGCUUAUGGGUAAACCUUAUGUGGUGGUGCUAGGGCAGGGGAUGGGGAAGCAGAAGGGAACCAUGACACAGUUAAAAUUCUAGAAUUAGUGGUCAACAAAAUCAUGUACUAUUGGUUUUCUUUGAACAAGGAAUUGUGUUAAUUUUUGUUUGAACUCUUUUCUGUUGUCGGAUUUUGUUGCUGAAUCUGGUAAAGGUUCCUCUACAACUUCCCUUUUUAUCGCAUUCGAUGUUAUUCCAGUAUAUGUAAAAACAUUGUAGUUCGUAGCUUUAUUUUAUGGGGAUUUUAUUGGACAGGGAAAAGUAUGGCUGCACCAUCAAAACCAACACGAAUAGGCCUCGCAGGUCUGGCUGUUAUGGGCCAGAAUCUGGCCCUCAAUAUUGCAGAGAAAGGCUUCCCAAUUUCUGUUUAUAAUCGAACAACCUCCAAAGUUGAUGAGACUGUUGAAAGAGCCAAAAAGGAGGGAGAUCUUCCUUUAUAUGGUUUCCAUGAUCCUGAAUCUUUUGUUCAGUCAAUCCAAAAGCCUCGGGUGAUAAUUAUGCUUGUUAAGGCUGGGGCACCUGUUGACCAAACUAUAAAGACCCUCUCUGCCUACAUGGAGAAAGGUGAUUGUAUCAUUGAUGGUGGGAAUGAGUGGUAUGAGAACACUGAGAGGAGAGAAAAGGCCAUGGCUGAAUUAGGUUUGCUUUAUCUCGGAAUGGGAGUUUCAGGUGGUGAAGAGGGUGCACGGCAUGGACCCUCUUUGAUGCCUGGAGGUUCCUUUGAGGCAUACAAAUACAUUGAAGACAUUCUUCUUAAAGUGGCAGCUCAAGUUCCUGACAGUGGUCCCUGUGUGACUUUUGUUGGUAAAGGUGGCUCUGGUAAUUUUGUCAAGAUGGUGCAUAACGGAAUUGAAUAUGGUGAUAUGCAGCUGAUUGCAGAGGCUUAUGAUGUACUAAAAUCAGUUGGAAAGUUGUCUAAUGAGGAACUGCAAAAUGUUUUCUCAGAAUGGAACAAGGGUGAGCUUCUGAGCUUCUUGAUUGAGAUCACAGCAGAUAUAUUUGGAAUUAAAGAUGACAAGGGAGAUGGAUAUUUGGUUGACAAGGUUUUGGACAAAACUGGUAUGAAGGGUACAGGUAAAUGGACCGUACAGCAAGCUGCUGAUCUAUCAGUUGCAGCUCCUACAAUUGCAUCUUCUUUGGAUGCAAGAUUCCUCAGUGGUUUGAAGGAGGAGCGAGUUGAAGCUGCUAAAGUCUUCAAAGCAGGUGGCUUUGGAGAAAUUUUGACUGACCAAGUGGUGGACAAGAAGAAGUUGAUUGAUGAUGUGAGACAAGCUCUCUAUGCAUCCAAGAUUUGUAGUUAUGCACAGGGGAUGAAUCUGAUCCGUGCAAAGAGUAUUGAGAAAGGAUGGGACUUGAAAUUGGGAGAACUGGCUAGGAUUUGGAAGGGAGGCUGCAUUAUCCGAGCUGUGUUUUUAGACAGAAUCAAGAAAGCAUAUGAUAGGAACCCUGACCUGGCUAACCUUCUUGUCGAUCCAGAGUUUGCAAAGGAAAUCAUUGAGCGUCAGUCUGCCUGGCGGAGGGUUGUAUGUCUGGCAAUCAAUUCUGGUAUUAGCACUCCUGGCAUGUCUUCUAGUCUUGCUUAUUUUGACACUUACCGAAGGGAAAGGUUGCCAGCUAAUUUGGUCCAAGCACAGAGAGAUUAUUUUGGCGCUCACACAUAUGAAAGGGUUGAUACUGAAGGAUCUUUCCACACUGAAUGGUUUAAGAUUGCAAGAGAGUUGAAGAAUUAAUGUGUCACCUCAUGGUAUCUAGCUUAAUCAAAAUUCUCAAUAAGCAUAAUAAUUUCUGCUCUAGACUCUGAUGGGUAGAAGUGUCACAAAUCCUGUUUCGUCAAAAUGUAUCUCAAUCAAAUUUGUUGAAUCCAAUUUAUAUUGAGAUUUUACCUUGCUUUUGUAUGUUGUGUUUGUGCUUUGGUAGUUCUGCUGCUUUUACCUUGAGAUUUGAUUUGUAAUGCUGAAAUUGGUAACUCUUUUUCUAGUUGAGGAACUUUUUAGCCACUUUGUGUAAUAAUACUGUGAAAAUAUUUGAGCAAGAGAUUCUCGUUUGUGGUGUUUUUGUAUGCUCUUUACACUAUCUGGAGGGAGGUUCAGAUGGUUUUAUGAGGUUUGGUAACCAUUUCUCCUGCAUGUCAGUGUUUAAAGGAGCAUGACCGUUGGAACGUUU
Molecule: unclassified non-coding RNA, 2400 nt
Filed under: Hevea brasiliensis (rubber tree)
Lineage: Eukaryota; Viridiplantae; Streptophyta; Magnoliopsida; Malpighiales; Euphorbiaceae
Source: RNAcentral